This is a long non-coding RNA of Dromaius novaehollandiae (emu), 4707 nucleotides long. RefSeq lists it as uncharacterized. The record is from RefSeq and is a predicted model, not a curated record. The transcript has 2 exons. NCBI's taxonomy places the organism in Eukaryota, Metazoa, Chordata, Aves, Casuariiformes, Dromaiidae.
ACCCUGCCACGCCGCCGCCGCCGCGCUCGCCUCCCUCCCUUGCUAAAAUGUGCAUUUUCUGAGAGAGGGAAUCGGUUUUUUCCGCCCCCCCCGCCUUUUUUUCCCUCUCUGCUGGGCGAGCUGUGUAACGUGGUGGUGCCUGCUCGGGAGGGAAGGGAGAGGUUUGCUGCCGAGUGUGGAAAGUGCGGAUUUCGCCUUUGUUUUAAGGGCUCCGGUAGUGACAUCCUCGGGGCAGUGAAAUGUAGCAUAAAUACCAAGCGGCGUGUAGCUGCGCCGCGCUUUUUUUUCUUUUUCCCCCUCCCGUGGAGAGGUUAAAAAAAACCCAAGCCACCCGUGGGUUAGCCCGGCUCGUUGAGGCUUGUGCAGAGAGGAACGGGACGAGAAAUAAGCACACACCGCCGUGCUGCCUAGCGGAGCUGAGACGGAGGGGGAAAAGGCCCUGGAGGGCCCGGAGCGCUGGGACGAGGAGAUGGAGGAUGCUGCGUGGAGGAGCAGCUGAACAGCGCUGUGCCCGGCCGCCCGCACGGAGCCCCUGCCCGCAGCCCAGCGCCGGCAGGGCGACGCGGCUCUCCCCGCAGGCAGGCUGCGAGCCCCGGGCCGGGGCAACCGCCGCUUCACUGGCGCCCUGCUAACCCCCCCCGCCCCCCCCAAGCCCCCCACGGAUGUGAGUAUUGCACCUGGCACAGGGAGCGGGGACCCGCCGGCCUCAUGCCCGCAUCGCGGCCCCUUCCCUGAGGAGCUGCGGUGAAGCGUUUGAGCCCUGACCGGAGUGAAAGCCCGCCCGGGGCACGGGUGUGGGGUCGGGCACGGGGCGGCCCCGGGGGCCAGCGCUGUUCUCCCCCCUCCCUGCCCCGGCGCGUUGCCUUUUGGUUACGGGGCCUGUUCUUAAAAGCAGGUUCCCAGGUUUAAGGGCCCUUGUGUUUAGGAGCUACGUAGCGUGUGAUAUGAAGAAAAAUUAAGUUUCAGCCUGGGAAAAUUUAACUCAUUUCGCUUGUUAUGGAGCGCAGCGGGCUUGAAAGAAGAAUGCGUUAAUUUUCUGUGCCGUCAAGCCGUAACAGCGUUGCUUGAGACAUUUCUACUUACUGCCUCACACGCUCCGAAUUUUUCUGACUUGUUUCUUUCCCAUAUCCAGAAUAUGUUAGUACAUCGCCUAAAUACCCUAACGACGUUCAAAAUAAUGUCCGUGCGCAUACUCAGAAGGUGAAUGUUUGUGUUAAGAACUGUCAGCAAAGCACAGAGCUGGGCUGAGACAUUUCUUGGAUUUAAUCUUGGUUUCUGGCUCUGCCUGUGGUUUUGAAGAAGAUGCUUAACUUUUUGCCUUCCUGCUGUUCCCCCUCCCCCAUUACCCCUUCGUACCCAAAUGAGAAGAAAACUUAUGUCACAGGAAUGGUGGGAAGAUUUUUUUUUUUAAGAAAAAAAUUUCUAUGGAAUGUGAAACAUUAUUAAAGGGGAAGCUGUGAAUACUUUAUAGAGAAGCCCUACUAAAAGAAAAACAGAAUUCAAAAGAACAGCUCAUCCUUCCCCCAAAAUAAAAACACUGAAGAAUCGUAAAUCUGAGGUGCAUCCCAGUUUGUAUCCUUGUGAUAUUGUAUGAGGACUUCUUGAAUGAUUCAGAAAUAAGCAGUAGGAGUAUUCAGUGAUUUCCAUGGGAGGAAGGUACAAACCAUCAAGGCCCCAGUUCUCUGCCAUCUUGAGCCUUUCGUGGUGAUUUGCAGCAGCACAGCUACGUGUGAAGCACUGAGAGACUGAAGACAGUGUUUAAACCUGACUUCACUUCAGUGUAAAUGAUCACACAAGGUUCAGAUCAACAGACAACAAGGGGUAAAAUAGGGAAAGCACUUAAGAUGCCUCUUUUAAAAGUAAUUUUUGAGUAGUUAAAGAUUAAGAAGCCAUAUAAAAAAGGCUUUUCUCCGCAUACGUUUAUGUUUACGAGUCCUAACACAAGAUGAUGGACCACAUUAUCUUAUGUGCAACAUUAUGUCUUAGGUGAAUCUAUAUCACUUUAUUGAUUUCGGGGGAGCUAUAGUGAUUUAAGUCAGUUUAAGAAACAAACCCAGCUAAGUUUUUAAUGAUUGGAAUAACAUUCUCCCUCUCUUUCGGUCAGAUUUGCCCUUCUAGCUCUCCAUUUCAUCAUUACAGAACCAGAAUCUCUGUUGCAAAAAAAGGAACAGACCUUCUCCCCCCCACCCCCCCAGUCAAGCUUUCUACAUUCUGGUUUUCAUUUUCAUGUUUAAAUAAAUUUAGGGCCCAAGCUCACCUCUUUUUUUUUUUUUUUUAGACCAAUUUAGUUUCAUUUAUUUAUGUUGGUAUUUUAUACCAGUAAAGCCAGAAGCAGAUCUCAGAAAAGAGAGUGUGUUUGAUGCACCAGAACCCUUUAGGGUUUGAUAAAAGACAUGGUAUCGUAAGUAACAUCUCCACUUCUUUUAUUCUUCUUACAUAGUAGCAACAAGAUUGAAUCACCAUUUUUAGCUAUUCUUCAGCAGAACUCCUAAUCUAUCAAUGUGUCAGCUCAACAGCAGUUUUCUCUUCACGCUAAUGUGAACCGGAAGAGUCCAGCUAUCACAGAUUUUGACAAUAUUAUUUUAUCCGAGAUUGCAUGUAUUGCAGAAGUUUGAAUAAAAUGAAUUAAAGGACUUACUAAAUUUUCCUAAAGAUGUAGAAAACAUAAAACAAGUAAAACAUUUUAAAUUCAUUUGUACAGGAUAAUACUCAUGAGUUAGGUGUUUCAUAAGCCUUCUGCUAUAAGCUCUAUAAAAUACUUUGAUAAAUAUGAUGAUAAAUAAAGUAUGAUAAAGUAUGAUAAAUAACAAGUAUAAGAGCAACUCUGGGUCCUGUAUCUUUUCGUAUGUCUCAGAUUGCCCUCUAUGCUGUUACAUAAUGCAUUAUAAAGAAAAAACAUGCCUUCAUUCUCUUUGAAUCACUCGGACAUUGAUAGUACUAAGCCCUUCCUCCAAGUCCUCGUUAUGCAAGUCCUUGCUACUGUUAAUAGCUGUCAGUUCUGCAUGGUUACUUAAAAAAUGAAGUAACUGCAGACUUUUUGUGAAGUUGAUUGCAUUUCUGGAAUUUAAAAUGAGUCAGUUCAGGUGCUUUGCUCCUUUUCUCAACUAUAAACUAAAUUGUUAUGAACAAACAGGAAGAAAGUCCCAUUCAUUCCAGUGUAUCACAAGCUAAUCUGCUUUUUGUUUAAUUGCUUCUAUAAGCGUAUUAUAUUAUGAGUGCCUGUAUGCACUUCUCCAGAGUCGAAGCACAGUGGAAUAGACCGAAAUACAGUAAUGUUUUGAAUGUUGAAAAAUACGGACAUUUAGCUAACUACUUGAAAAAUACAUAGUGGAAUAAAAAUCCAUGACCAAUUACCAAAGUUAUUAGAUAAUGAAAAUCCAUAUAGGCACUGAGUAGUAAAAUCUGUGUGAUACAUUAUAAUCAGCAUUCAAGUGAAACUGAUGAGAUAUCUGUAAAGAACAGAAAGAAUGAUAUUUUUAAAGCUAGAUGUUCCACAUUUCUUUAUUUGAGAAGUGAAAUUUUCCUUGUCCCUUCAUAAAGACAUAAAAUUAACAACAAGCACUUCAAAGAAUUAGGUGGGUUGCUUGGUAUUUAAUUUUUUCUCUGUCAUGCACAGAGAUCGUGUGCGGAAGAAAAUCCGAAGAAACCUAGUUCAGUUUGCCAAUGUCAUACAUCUUCCCCAGUAACCUCUCCUUUAACAAGGCCUCAGUUUUAAAGACACUGAAACCGGAAUAUCUCAGAACUCAUAAUACUGGUUAUAUAAAAAAAAAAUUCUCACUGAGUCUACACGUAUACUGCUUGUAUAUCUACACUACUUGUGUAAGUAUACACAUAGAAACUCAGUGAAGUGCCCCCAUGACAGAAGGGUUUUGUUUUGUGUUCUCUUAAUUGAUCUAUUAGUUUAGCAAUCCUUUUUUUUUUUUUUUUUUUUUUUUUAACCUUUUUAUUGCACUUGGAAAUUUGGAGGACUAGUUUAUAUGGUUUUUUUCCCUUCUACUAGUAUUCAUUUUGAAAGGUUCAACUACAUUCUGUUCAGGUUUUAGUAUGACUCAUGGGAAAUAAUUUUUAAUGCCUUUUGCUAGCAGUAGAGUGGGGAGGAGGAAUGCACUCUAAAGUAGUAUACGUACUAAACUGUACUCUAGUAAGAGAUUAAAUAACAAAGAGUACAAUAGCUGAGACAGGUCAUUUGUCACAGGUGCUCAUGCAGUUCUGUGUUUUGUUUUAAACUGGAUUCAUCAAGCAUGCUAAAAGGAGGAAGCAAUUUAUGUCUGAUAUAAAGUUUUUAUCCAAGGAGAAUAAAUGGGUUAAGUUUAAACUGUGGUUUGAAAAUAUAGGAAAACAUUGCUGGACAGUUGACAGCUUGAUUUGGUAGCCAAAGUGGAUGCAAGUAAGUAAAUUGGAAAAUGCUAUUUUUGCAGCAUCUAACAUACGGUUACUUCAAUAAUAGGAAAAAAUGUAUCAGAAAUGAAUUACUAUGGAAGAGAGUUAAUUUUGUUGUAAGAUGUUUUUGUCUGUUAAGCACAAGUAUUUUUACUGUAAAUGUCUGAAUUGUUUAGAUUAUGAGGGGUACUGAUGCUGUCGAAGAGUAAGCAUGAAAUGUUGAUGUCAUAACAUCUGAUACUUAAGUGGUAUAUACUGCUUUUACAAUAUUUCAUAAAUUUAUAACAUAAGUUCAAUAAUAAAACUUCAUGGAAAUGCUUGAGAUAA